CAGUAGCCGCGGUAAUACGGAGGAUCCAAGCGUUAUCCGGAAUCAUUGGGUUUAAAGGGUCCGUAGGCGGUCUUGUAAGUCAGUGGUGAAAGCCCAUCGCUCAACGGUGGAACGGCCAUUGAUACUGCAGGACUUGAAUUAUUGGGAAGUAACUAGAAUAUGUAGUGUAGCGGUGAAAUGCUUAGAGAUUACAUGGAAUACCAAUUGCGAAGGCAGGUUACUACCAAUUGAUUGACGCUGAUGGACGAAAGCGUGGGUAGCGAACAGGAUUAGAGACCCGAGUAGUCCCUGUCUCUUACAC
This 301-nucleotide ribosomal RNA is filed under the name uncultured bacterium. RNAcentral describes it as "partial 16S ribosomal RNA". It matches the Rfam family "Bacterial small subunit ribosomal RNA", at positions 509 to 809 of the family's 1533-position model. The record is from RNAcentral.